This 500-nucleotide ribosomal RNA is filed under the name uncultured bacterium. Its description in RNAcentral is "partial 16S ribosomal RNA". It matches the Rfam family "Bacterial small subunit ribosomal RNA", at positions 30 to 523 of the family's 1533-position model. The record is from RNAcentral.
AUUGAACGCUGGCGGCAUGCCUUACACAUGCAAGUCGAACGGCAGCACGGACUUCGGUCUGGUGGCGAGUGGCGAACGGGUGAGUAAUGUAUCGGAACGUACCCUUCAGUGGGGGAUAACUAUCCGAAAGGAUAGCUAAUACCGCAUAUUCUCUGAGGAGGAAAGCGGGGGAUCGCAAGACCUCGCGCUGAUGGAGCGGCCGAUAUCAGAUUAGCUAGUUGGUGGGGUAAAGGCCUACCAAGGCGACGAUCUGUAGCGGGUCUGAGAGGAUGAUCCGCCACACUGGAACUGAGACACGGCCCAGACCCCUACGAGAGGCAGCAGUGGGGAAUUUUGGACCAUGGGGGCAACCCUGAUCCAGCCAUGCCGCGUGAGUGAAGAAGGCCUUCGGGUUGUAAAGCUCUUUCGGCCGGGAAGAAAUUGCGUGAGUUAAUACCUUGCGUGGAUGACGGUACCGGAAUAAGAAGCACCGGCUAACUACGUGCCAGCCGCCGCAGUAA